RNAcentral lists this unclassified non-coding RNA (345 nucleotides) under soil metagenome. RNAcentral's name for it is "partial contains 5.8S ribosomal RNA, internal transcribed spacer 2, and large subunit ribosomal RNA". The stretch from base 1 to 120 matches the Rfam family "5.8S ribosomal RNA", at positions 35 to 154 of the family's 154-position model. The record is from RNAcentral.
GAUGAAGAACGCAGCGAAAUGCGACAAGUAAUGUGAAUUGCAGAAUUCCGUGAAUCAUCGAAUCUUUGAACGCACAUUGCGCCCUCUGGUAUUCUGGAGGGCAUGCCUGUCCGAGCGUCAUUGCUAUACCUCAAGCCCGGCUUGUGUGAUGGGCCUCCGUCCUCCUCCCGGGGGACGGGCCCGAAAGGCAGCGGCGGCACCGCGUCCGGUCCUCGAGCGUAUGGGGCUUCGUCACCCGCUCUUGUAGGCCCGGCCGGCGCUUGCCGACACAUCAAUCUUUUUUCCAGGUUGACCUCGGAUCAGGUAGGGAUACCCGCUGAACUUAAGCAUAUCAAUAGCGGAGGA